CUAACAAGGAUUCCCCUAGUAACUGCGAGUGAAGCGGGAAAAGCUCAAAUUUAAAAUCUGGCGGCUUUGGUCGUCCGAGUUGUAAUCUAGAGAAGUGUCUUCCGCGCUGGACCGUGUAUAAGUCUCUUGGAACAGAGCGUCAUAGAGGGUGAGAAUCCCGUCUUUGACACGGACUACCAGUGCUUUGUGAUGCGCUCUCAAAGAGUCGAGUUGUUUGGGAAUGCAGCUCAAAAUGGGUGGUAAAUUCCAUCUAAAGCUAAAUAUUGGCGAGAGACCGAUAGCGAACAAGUACCGUGAGGGAAAGAUGAAAAGCACUUUGGAAAGAGAGUUAAACAGUACGUGAAAUUGCUGAAAGGGAAACGCUUGAAGUCAGUCGCGUUGUCUAGAACUCAGCCAGGCUUGCUUGGUGCAUUUUCUAGUCAACGGGCCAGCAUCAGUUUUGACUGCGGGAAAAAGGCCAGAGAAAUGUGGCACCUUCGGGUGUGUUAUAGUCUUUGGUUGCAUACCGUGRUUGGGACUGAGGCUCUCAGCACGCGCAAGCUGUGCUUAGGAUGCUGGCGUAAUGGCUUUAAACGACCCGUCUUGAAACACGGACCAAGGAGUCUAACAAACCUGCGAGUGUUUGGGUGGUAAACCCGAGCGCGAAAUGAAAGUGAAAGUUGGGAUCCCUGUCGUGGGGAGCACCGACGCCCGGACCAGACCUUCUGUGACGGAUCUGCGGUAGAGCAUGUUUGUUGGGACCCGAAAGAUGGUGAACUAUGCCUGAAUAGGGUGAAGCCAGAGGAAACUCUGGUGGAGGCUCGUAGCGAUUCUGACGUGCAAAUCGAUCGUCAAAUUUGGGUAUAGGGGCGAAAGACUAAUCGAACCAUCUAGUAGCUGGUUCCUGCCGA
Molecule: ribosomal RNA, 890 nt
Filed under: Efibula sp.
Lineage: Eukaryota; Fungi; Basidiomycota; Agaricomycetes; Polyporales; Irpicaceae
Description: partial large subunit ribosomal RNA
Source: RNAcentral